CUUCAUAGGAAUGUAUCACUGUGGAUCACUUUUGGUGGAGGAACUAAACUGUCUGUGGGCCGUGACACCCAGCCCAGUGUGACAGUGCUGCCCCCCUCCAGUGUGGAGCUGCAGCAGGAGAAGGUCACACUCAUGUGUGUGGCCUACAAGGGCUUCCCCUCGGACUGGAAGUUGAGCUGGAAGGUUGACGGCAGCAGCUGGAGCUCGGGGGAGAGCCGCAGCGCCGCCGUUCUGAACGCGGACGGCCUCUACAGCUGGAGCAGCACGCUGAGCCUCCACCCGGAUCAGUGGAGGAACAAGGUGGUGACCUGUGAGGCCUCCAAAGACAACCAACCUACUGUGGUGAGCACAGUGAACACAGAUCAGUGCUCAGAGCUGUGAGCUCACACACACUUUACUCAGCUCACCUUCUACUGCUUCACUGUGUGCUACAUGUGGCCUUUACUGCUCAAAUCAUCCACUCUCAUCAUUUCAUUUGUCUUAUUAACAUGUGAGCUCACACACUCCUCACUUUAACUCAGCUCUUCUUCUUAAUUAUCAACUAAAUAUGUGUUAAGUGU
Non-coding RNA from Tachysurus vachellii, 560 nucleotides. The record is from the annotation of a RefSeq genome assembly. Lineage: Eukaryota; Metazoa; Chordata; Actinopteri; Siluriformes; Bagridae.